UAUUUUAGAGAUCGGGUCUAAAGAGUGGGAGAGCUUGGCCAUAGCACUUGCUCCUGGUUCUGGUGGUUCGCCAGAAAGGAUUUUGAUUUUGUGAUUUUUUAUGGCCGAAGCCAAAUCUUUUCUCUUCUUGUUUCUUGUUGCAUUUGCUGUAAUUCUCUCGUAAUUACAUGAAUAAAAUAUUUCAUUUAGGACUUGUCUUAUUCUAUCUGUUGGAUCCCGUGCAAUUCUUUCAUCUAAAAUAUUUCUCAUUUC
RNAcentral lists this long non-coding RNA (252 nucleotides) under Elaeis guineensis (African oil palm). RNAcentral describes it as "long non-coding RNA (EGUI_LNC042106)". The record is from RNAcentral. Lineage: Eukaryota; Viridiplantae; Streptophyta; Magnoliopsida; Arecales; Arecaceae.